RNAcentral lists this ribosomal RNA (426 nucleotides) under uncultured Pseudomonadales bacterium. RNAcentral describes it as "bacterial SSU rRNA". It matches the Rfam family "Bacterial small subunit ribosomal RNA", at positions 356 to 774 of the family's 1533-position model. The record is from RNAcentral. Lineage: Bacteria; Pseudomonadati; Pseudomonadota; Gammaproteobacteria; Pseudomonadales.
GGGGAAUAUUGGACAAUGGGCGAAAGCCUGAUCCAGCCAUGCCGCGUGUGUGAAGAAGGUCUUCGGAUUGUAAAGCACUUUAAGUUGGGAGGAAGGGUUUCUGGCUAAUAUCCAGGAAUUUUGACGUUACCGACAGAAUAAGCACCGGCUAACUUCGUGCCAGCAGCCGCGGUAAUACGAAGGGUGCAAGCGUUAAUCGGAAUUACUGGGCGUAAAGCGCGCGUAGGUGGUUCGUUAAGUUGGAUGUGAAAGCCCCGGGCUCAACCUGGGAACUGCAUCCAAAACUGGCGAGCUAGAGUAUGGCAGAGGAUGGUAGAAUUCCAGGUGUAGCGGUGAAAUGCGUAGAGAUCUGGAGGAAUACCGAUGGCGAAGGCAGACAUCUGGCCUAAUACUGACGCUGAGGUACGAAAGCAUGGGGAGCAAACA